RNAcentral lists this ribosomal RNA (253 nucleotides) under uncultured bacterium. RNAcentral describes it as "partial 16S ribosomal RNA". It matches the Rfam family "Bacterial small subunit ribosomal RNA", at positions 524 to 776 of the family's 1533-position model. The record is from RNAcentral.
UACGGAGGAUCCAAGCGUUAUCCGGAAUCAUUGGGUUUAAAGGGUCCGUAGGCGGUUUUGUAAGUCAGAGGUGAAAGCCCCGCGCUCAACGGUGGAACGGCCAUUGAUACUGCAAGACUUGAAUUAUUGGGAAGUAACUAGAAUAUGUAGUGUAGCGGUGAAAUGCUUAGAGAUUACAUGGAAUACCAAUUGCGAAGGCAGGUUACUACCAAUAUAUUGACGCUGAUGGACGAAAGCGUGGGGAGCGAACAGG